CAUAGUUUACCUGAUCAUCUGGGAUUGAUGUGUGGGAAAAUAAAUGUAUCAUAGAAACACUGAUGAAGAGGAUGCUGUGGGUCCUUUUUAAAGAUAUAAUGUGAAAAUAGUAAGAAUAUUGCAUUAAAAUAUCUAAAAACUACCAGAUCUUUGUUGAGUUGUUCACUCACAUCAUCACAAAUGUUUCCAAAAAUGUUCAAACCAGAGAAAUCCACAAGUUUACUCAGAGUCUCAUUGGAACGUCUGUUGCUAUAACUUCCUGGAGAGAGUCAGAGAGCGAGGAAGGAAGUCGAAAUGAGACAAAACAUAACAUAAAUCAGCUUUUCUUCAGCAACGGUGGCUGUUAACUGUGUGUUCACCAUCAGUGUUUAUUCUCUCCAAACAGCCAGAUAUUUAACUGCACACAGACGUAAACUACACCAGCUACAGUCAGUGUGUCGAGGUCGACUGCUGAGUGAAGUCAGCACUCAGCAGAGACUCUGGUUCUGGUUCUGGUUCUCUCUCUCCUCUCUGUAGCGUCACGUUCAUGAAGUAAAGUCCAUUUCCCUGACAGUGGAGGUCACUGCUGCAGUCAGGCUGGACAGGAGUGAUGAUAGAUCACCUUUUUAAUCCAGAAGUUAAAAAUUCAUCUCUGAGCUCUCCUUCUGUUGGAUCAGAACCGAAUCUGAUGAGACUUUUUUGCGUCCUUGUGUCAUUCAUGGCUGGAAUGGACUUAAAUUUGCAUCAAUUAGCGUCUUCACAUUUAAUCUACACACGCUAAAAACUAGCAUUCAGUCUGAACAUCGACACUUACACUCAAUUACAUUACGUGCUUGUUUGGGGAUUGCAUCAUGGGAAAUGCGGUUUAACACAGUUCAGCAUCAUGUCUGUCUCUAAUUACUUAUUUAUUUAAUUUACCUUCCAGCUGCUGUGUUGGUCCGUGCAGUGCUCGUCCUCCUCCUCCUCCUCAUCAUGGUCAUCAUCAUCUUCGUCACUUGGAGAUGCAGCAUCAAAAGACGAGGAGGAAGAGGAGAACAAACGGAUGAGGUCGUCAAUGCUGAGACAUCAGAUAUUCCUGUGUUUGAAUCAGCACAAGGUGAGAAAUUAGAAAAAAAUAAUAACCCUGAAUUUAAAAACUGUGUGGCCAAAAAGUCAAUUAUGUAGUUUGGAUUUUAAAAACACUCCUGAAACAUGAAGUAGUUGGUAUCAGAUGGCAGAAAUCAACUGGAUGUGGCCAACAAAAAAGUUAAUUUACAUAAAUGUGUGUUGAAUUCAUGUUUUUUUAAUUUCCAAUUGGAUCAAACCAAGAGCUCACGUACUCCGUCAUCCAGAGCAUUCCAGCGCUGCAAAAUAUGGAUUGUAUGAAUAUGAAUAUGAAUGUAUUUGGGGAGUUGUGCAUUUUUAUAUGACUCGAUACACAAAUGCAUUUUCAAUGCACACACAAAUAUGCUUCAAUCCAUAUAUAAGUAAAAAAAAAUUCACAUAUAAAAAUAAGAUUUGUAAACAUAUUUGUGAUGCGCACACAAAUAUUUCUUGUUUUAAAU
This 1523-nucleotide long non-coding RNA is filed under the name Sparus aurata (gilthead seabream). RNAcentral describes it as "lncRNA (ENSSAUG00010001029.1)". The record is from RNAcentral. Lineage: Eukaryota; Metazoa; Chordata; Actinopteri; Spariformes; Sparidae.